RNAcentral lists this ribosomal RNA (117 nucleotides) under Paramormyrops kingsleyae. Lineage: Eukaryota; Metazoa; Chordata; Actinopteri; Osteoglossiformes; Mormyridae. The record is from RNAcentral.
GUCGGCAGCCAUAUCACCUGCAGUUCAGACUAGGCAAUCUGUCUGAAGCUGAGCCAGUUUGGGUCUGGCCAGUACUUGGAUUGGAGACCAACUAGGAAAGCUGACUCACUGCUGGAA